This 325-nucleotide ribosomal RNA is filed under the name uncultured bacterium. RNAcentral describes it as "bacterial SSU rRNA". It matches the Rfam family "Bacterial small subunit ribosomal RNA", at positions 30 to 334 of the family's 1533-position model. The record is from RNAcentral.
AUUGAACGCUGGCGGCGUGCCUAACACAUGCAAGUCGAGCGAAGCAUUUUAAAGGAAGUUUUCGGAUGGAAUUUGAAAUGACUGAGCGGGCGACGGGUGAGUAACGCGUGAGGAACCUGCCUCGGAGUGGGGAAUAACAGUCCGAAAGGACUGCUAAUACCGCAUAAUGCAGCUGGGUCGCAUGACUCUGGCUGCCAAAGACUUAUCGCUCUGAGAUGGCCUCGCGUCUGAUUAGCUAGUUGGCAGGGUAACGGCCUACCAAGGCGACGAUCUGUAGCCGACCUGAGAGGGUGACCGGCCACAUUGGGACUGAGACACGGCCCAA